This 394-nucleotide ribosomal RNA is filed under the name uncultured bacterium. Its description in RNAcentral is "bacterial SSU rRNA". It matches the Rfam family "Bacterial small subunit ribosomal RNA", at positions 505 to 898 of the family's 1533-position model. The record is from RNAcentral.
GUGUCAGCAGCCGCGGUAAUACAGAGAGUGCAAACGUUGUUCGGAAUUACUGGGCUUAAAGCGCGCGUAGGCGGUGCUGUAAGUGUCGGGUGAAAUCCCACGGCUCACCCGUGGAACUGCCCGGCAGACUGCAGUACUAGAGUGUGGUAGGGGAGAGCGGAACUCCUGGUGGAGCGGUGAAAUGCGUAGAUAUCAGGAGGAACACCGGUGGCGAAGGCGGCUCUCUGGUCCACAACUGACGCUGAGGCGCGAAAGCUAGGGGAGCAAACGGGAUUAGAUACCCCGGUAGUCCUAGCUGUAAACGAUGGGCACUAGCUUGGGGUUUCCCUGUGAAAUCCCAGGUGAAGCAAAAGUGAUAAGUGCCCCGCCUGGGGAGUAUGGUCGCAAGGCUGAA